UACGGGGGGAGCAAGCGUUGUUCGGAUUUACUGGGCGUAAAGGGCGCGUAGGCGGCCACCGCAAGUCGACUGUGAAAUCUCCGGGCUUAACCCGGAAAGGUCAGCCGAUACUGCGGGGCUAGAGUGCAGAAGGGGCAACUGGAAUUCUCGGUGUAGCGGUGAAAUGCGUAGAUAUCGAGAGGAACACCUGCGGCGAAGGCGGGUUGCUGGGCUGACACUGACGCUGAAGCGCGAAAGCGUGGGGAGCAAACGGG
This 254-nucleotide ribosomal RNA is filed under the name uncultured bacterium. RNAcentral's name for it is "partial 16S ribosomal RNA". It matches the Rfam family "Bacterial small subunit ribosomal RNA", at positions 524 to 776 of the family's 1533-position model. The record is from RNAcentral.